Molecule: long non-coding RNA, 222 nt
Filed under: Citrus maxima (pomelo)
Lineage: Eukaryota; Viridiplantae; Streptophyta; Magnoliopsida; Sapindales; Rutaceae
Description: long non-coding RNA (CMAX_LNC002953)
Source: RNAcentral
GGAGAGACAGAGACGGAGACGGAGUGGAUGAUGAAUAUGCCGUUCGAGAGGAUUUGGUUUUUCUAAUGGGGACGGACUCUUGGGUUGCCCGCAUUUAACAGCGCCGAAUCCCGAGGGCCUCAUAACCGUCGGUUUGAAAUUCAAAUGGAGGGGGGGAUUUCUGCCACGUCACCCCGUCCGCAAUUAAAUGCGACAUGACUCUUGGCAGCCUUUUCCAAUCCC